UGGGGAAUAUUGGACAAUGGGCGAAAGCCUGAUCCAGCCAUGCCGCAUGUGUGAAGAAGGUCUUCGGAUUGUAAAGCACUUUAAGUUGGGAGGAAGGGCAUUAACCUAAUACGUUAGUGUUUUGACGUUACCGACAGAAUAAGCACCGGCUAACUCUGUGCCAGCAGCCGCGGUAAUACAGAGGGUGCAAGCGUUAAUCGGAAUUACUGGGCGUAAAGCGCGCGUAGGUGGUUUGUUAAGUUGGAUGUGAAAUCCCCGGGCUCAACCUGGGAACUGCAUUCAAAACUGACUGACUAGAGUAUGGUAGAGGGUGGUGGAAUUUCCUGUGUAGCGGUGAAAUGCGUAGAUAUAGGAAGGAACACCAGUGGCGAAGGCGACCACCCGGACUAAUACUGACACUGAGGUGCGAAAGCGUGGGGAGCAAACA
Molecule: ribosomal RNA, 427 nt
Filed under: uncultured bacterium
Lineage: Bacteria
Description: partial 16S ribosomal RNA
Rfam family: Bacterial small subunit ribosomal RNA
Source: RNAcentral